UAACCGUAGGUGAACCUGCGGUUGGAUCAUUAAUGAAUGAACUGACUGAGCAAGCUCCUCGGAGCAGCUCUGGUCGUCAACACCUUGUGAAUUGUGAAUGUCUUUGGCAAGUGAUGCGUUUCGAGUAAUCGAGAUGCAGAGUUUCACUCGGUUUGAGCGAAAGCUUGCCUAUGAAUUUUAAACUAUUGCCUUUUGAGCCUGACCAAUUUUUAUCAGAGAAAUACUGAAACAACUUUUGGCAACGGAUCUCUUGGCUCUCGCAUCGAUGAAGAACGCAGC
RNAcentral lists this unclassified non-coding RNA (279 nucleotides) under uncultured fungus. RNAcentral describes it as "sequence contains ITS1, 5.8S rRNA gene". The stretch from base 231 to 279 matches the Rfam family "5.8S ribosomal RNA", at positions 1 to 49 of the family's 154-position model. Lineage: Eukaryota; Fungi. The record is from RNAcentral.